UACAGAUUUUUCUCGAGCCCCAGCAAUUUUGAAAUCGUUCAAGGAUCGUUCGUUUGCCAGAUCGAUAACCAUCGAGCACGAACGGACGUUCAUUCGAUUCGAGUUCGAUCGUCCGAAUGAGACACAACUUCGAGACAAGAGCCACGAUCAUUCUCCCGCGCAAAUAUUCGUUCGUGGGGGAAAAAAGGACGACCAAUUUGCGUCCUCCAGAUCGAUGCAAGCUGGACCAAUAUUUCUUUGAAAAAAUCCGAUCACAAAGGGGAGACCGGUGUUUGCCGCACUAUGCCUUCCGAUCGAGGUACAAGUUUGAAUUCCGAUCGAUACGCGUGUCGUCAUUGAGCUACUAGCAUAGACCAGACCUUCUCCCCCGAUUCGAACCAAUGGCGGACAAUAUCAGCGUGACGUCGUAUUGUUAUCGCAACUGGAUUGGUCGAACGAGCAAUACCUGCGAUCAGAAAAAGGAUUCUGCCUUUGAAAUAGCAAUUUCGGGCAGCCUUAGCGAAUUUCGCAAAUUUAACGAUCAAUAUUUUAUGCCAUAUUGACGCGUGAAAAUAUCGUGAGUAUCGAUUCAAGGAAAAUGCUAAUUGGGAAAGUUAUUUCGCCGGUCGAGCUAGCGCUCGAGUUCCGAUUUCGAUAUACUUCUGCGUUAACCUCCAAACUAUAAAACUAAUACUCGUAAUGCUCGUUGGAUUAUUGAUUGGUCUUCAAAUAUAUUCCGGUUGCAAACUGUUGUCGGAAACACGAAUUUCUAUAUAUUUUAAUCCAUAACAGAUAUAAAAACCAGCGACGAAUUUCUUGCCGUUAAAUAAUUUAUUAUAAUUUUUUCAUAUUUUAUAAAACGAGUUACAAGGUAGUAGCAACGAUAACAAUACCACCUAACGAUCACUUGCAGUUAUCUUUCAAAUUCAGAAAUUCAAUAAAAAAAAACAAGUAGCAAUAUUGCGAAAAAAUAUUUUCAAUUGUUGUUCUUUUUACGAUGUAAAUAUUUCGUGUGAAGUUUUGUUGUUUUGCAAAAUAAAUUAUGCUAGCUGGUAGGCAUUGGUGUGUCGUAUUUUUGUUCCAACAAAUAUAUCAAGGUUACUUAAAAAGUUUUCAAUAAUUAGAAAAUGAAGGAUCACUCGUUAUUGCAACGUAAACAUAAUAAAUUUCUCGUUACGAAUACGUAGAGGUAAUCAUUAUUGAAGUACCCAAACUCGCCACUGUUAUAAGUAUCUCGAUUACGAAUCGGUGGUAAAUUAAAAAAGAAGCGAACGAAGACACGCGAAGAUCGUCUGUAAUUACGUGGAAAAAUCUCUGGGAAGUUCGUGCACAUUGUGUUCAUUCAGAAAAGAAUUUAUAACAUUUUUCUAAGUACGCUAGCGCGAGAAGUUACGGAAAGCUUUAUAGGUAUAUACUAGAAUAAGUGAAUGUUGGUCUAACGAAUUAUGAGCGGUAAUUUUAACGAUACACUCUAACGGGCGAUCGCCACGGAAAAGAAUUACCUGGUCAAUCGAGAUCUGAAUAUUCGAUGAUGCCACUGUUACAUUUUACACUCGAACUGCAAAUUAUAUACAUAAGAAAUUAUAUGAUAAUAAACUCACGUUUUAAAGUUGUCAGUCGCCAUCAUAUGCGAGGAGACGGUAUCAUUGCAAGUGCGCAUGCGCAUCGAACCAUGUUGCUUCUGCUGUAAAGACUCGUUCACAUCCGUACAGCACAAAAUGCCAGAUAAAAAUAUUUUAGUCACUUCAAAAAUAUGUGUAUAUAUAUAUUUAAACACGUAUAAUUACUCUUUCAUUUCUACGUUAUCGAUUUCGAUUUAAAAUAUAUCAGAUAAGCACAUUUUACUAGACACAGCUUACAUGAGCCCAAUACGCUAUAAUGUACACAUAUAUAUGUAUAACUUCUGUUUACAAGUAGACGCGUAUAUAUUUAGGCUUCCGCAUGGCUUGGAAUCACGGUGGGAUACAUCAUUACCAUGUAUAUCACUGUUUUUCCUGAUUACAUGAACUUUGAUACCUAGCAUGAAUAUAUCACGUUUUGACCUGAUAGAAGGUGCCCAAAGAUGUCCAGGAAUAGGAUAAAAAGACUUUAGCGAUGACAUAAUCGAUGACCUGAGAAGACAUGGAUAUACAAGAUCUGGUUAAGACAGCAUUUAGAGUAGUUAACACAGAAGACAGAUAUAUUCUGACAUCAAAUUAAUACAUUAUUGACCAUCUCAGAAAGGGGUAAAGUGUGAUACUGAAGUGAAAGAAGAUUAUGUAAAGUAUGUUAAAGGAAGGCUAGAGCUGUUUAUUCAGUGGAGGCUUACAUUUGUUUACCUAAGUGUAAUCUCCCUUCGUUGACGUACUCAGAAGCAUUAGGAAGAGACUAUUAAAAGGAUGCAAAAGACACCUUUUCCAAGAAUUGACUGCAAAGAGACUUACGUAAAUAGGAACGCCAUUUCUCGUCAUAUGAAAGAAAGCAUACAUAGCUUACCGCUUCUGUUUCAACUGAAAAUGUACAUAAAUUACAAUCGCGACCUGUAAGAUAAACACGUCUAUUUCUUAAUAAAUAUGUACGUAUAUAAUUA
Molecule: non-coding RNA, 2548 nt
Organism: Megalopta genalis
Lineage: Eukaryota; Metazoa; Arthropoda; Insecta; Hymenoptera; Halictidae
Source: RefSeq, a predicted model, not a curated record